This 465-nucleotide ribosomal RNA is filed under the name uncultured bacterium. RNAcentral describes it as "partial 16S ribosomal RNA". It matches the Rfam family "Bacterial small subunit ribosomal RNA", at positions 338 to 795 of the family's 1533-position model. The record is from RNAcentral.
CCUACGGGAGGCAGCAGUGGGGAAUAUUGCGCAAUGGGCGAAAGCCUGACGCAGCGACGCCGCGUGAGGGAUGAAGGUCUUCGGAUCGUAAACCUCUGUCAGCAGGGAAGAACGGUCCCUGUGCUAAUCAGCAGUGAGUUGACGGUACCUGAGGAGGAAGCCACGGCUAACUACGUGCCAGCAGCCGCGGUAAUACGUAGGUGGCGAGCGUUGUCCGGAUUUACUGGGCGUAAAGGGAGCGUAGGCGGACUCUUAAGUGAGAUGUGAAAUACUCGGGCGCAACUUGGGUGCUGCAUUUCAAACUGGAAGUCUAGAGUGCAGGAGAGGAGAAUGGAAUGCCCAGUGUAGCGGUGAAAUGCGUAGAGAUUAGGAAGAACACCAGUGGCGAAGGCGAUGCUCUGGACUGUAACUGACGCUGAGGCUCGAAAGCGUGGGGAGCAAACAGGAUUAGAUACCCCAGUAGUC